GCACCCGCCACGGCUGCCCAGAACGGCUCCGCGGGCCGCCCAACCCACCUGUGCUGCCACCGCCCUCCAGACGUCACUGCGAGGCUUGGUGAUGGUAUCAAGGUUCAGCCACCAGUUCAGACACCAGGCAAACCUGUAGUGAUGAGAUGGAUCCAAAAUCAAGCUAGAAAAUAAAUUGACCAGGCCAGGAUUAGAGUCAAGAGUCAGGAAGGUGGAGUAACAAGCACAGGAAUUCCUGCAAUAAAAUUCAGGCAGAGGCUGAAAGGAAGUGCCUGAGCAUGAAGAAGCUCUGGAACAAAGGUGGGCAGGACUCCACUUCCAAUAACUUUUCCUCACACUACUCUUCCUACAUCACCACAGUAUGAAGCCAGUAUUGAGCUUUAGCCGUAGACAGCUAAAUCAUGGAAUCAUAAAAUGUCUCAGGUUGGAAGGAACCCACAAGGUUUGUUAGGUCCAAAUACCUAAAACUAAACUGUAUGAACAUGAGAACUGUCCAGACACUCCUUUAGCUCUGACAGGCUUGGCACCAUGACCAAGGGGCACCUGAGGAACCUGUUCCAGUCAGUGACCACUGAAGAAUCUUUUCCUAAUGCCCAAUCUGAACUGCUCCUGAUUCAGCUUCAUUCCAUUUCCUCGUGUCCUAUGGCUUGUCACCAGAGAGAGAAGAUCAGCAUCUCUCCCUCCACUGUCCCUCCUUGAGGAAAUUGUAGACUGCCAUGACAUGACGUCACUGUUCAGCUUCCUCAGCUCCAAGCUGAACAGAGUGACCUCAGCCCCUCCUCCUAAGUUGUGCUCUCAAGACUUCUCACCUCUUCAUCAGCCUCCUGUGGACACACUCAAGUAGUUUGAUAUCCUGCUUGCACUGACACAGAAAAAACUGCACAUGGUACUUGAGAAUCAUGGAACAGUUGAAGUUGGAAGGGACCUCAAGUUCAUCUAGUCCAAUUAGAGCAAGCCUAAAGCAAGGUGCUCAAGACCAUGUCCAGUAGAGUUUUGAGUAUCUGGAAUGCUAGAGACUCCACAAGCUAUCUGGGCCACCCAUUCCAGUGUUUUGCUCCCCUCAUGUUAACAAAAUUUUCUGACUUUGAAAUGGAAUUUCCUGGUGCACACCUAUUGCCUCUGGUCCUUUCUUUGGGCAAAAAUGGGAAGAGUGGCUCCAUCUUCUUUGUGCCUCUCUCCUUCUUCCCCCCCCCCCCCCCAGUCAGGCAUUUGCAGAUUGGUUAGAUCCCUCUGAACCUUUCUCCAGGAUGAACCCUUUCUUUAUAUGAGAAAUGCCCCAAUUAGCUCUGGUCUCCUUGUUUCUCUUGUAUGGGGGAGCCUAGAACUGAACACAAUACUCCAAAUAUCCAGCUUUUUCAUCCACAUAUUACCUUUUACGCCAUGCUUAGUAAUAAAGAGUAAACAAACCAGCCAGAGUUCUAUUUGGAAACCUUUCACUUUGUUUUUCUACAAUAACUGUUGUCAUCUACCAGUUCUUUACCUGUAAUAAACCCUCUUUUGUAAGCAAUUUCUUUUGCUUACAGUAUUUCUUUUGUAUAGCCUUUUUUAUCAAAACAUGUUGAACAAUAUAUACCUUCCCUAAAUAUGUGCUUCAUAUCUUCCUC
Molecule: long non-coding RNA, 1604 nt
Organism: Calypte anna (Anna's hummingbird)
Lineage: Eukaryota; Metazoa; Chordata; Aves; Apodiformes; Trochilidae
Exons: 3
Source: RefSeq, a predicted model, not a curated record